Molecule: small nucleolar RNA, 138 nt
Filed under: Ornithorhynchus anatinus (platypus)
Lineage: Eukaryota; Metazoa; Chordata; Mammalia; Monotremata; Ornithorhynchidae
Source: RNAcentral
CCCCUCUCCGAGUCGCACCUGGAGAGUUUCCAGGACUCUACCAGUUUUGGCUAUGGGAGGGAGAGUCAAACAGAGGCCUGUCCAUUCCAUUCCUAGCUUGGAUAUUGGCUAGCGAGUGGAAGGCAAUCUGCUACAAGU